GAUGAACGCUAGCGGCAGGCCUAAUACAUGCAAGUCGAGGGGCAGCGCGGUAGCAAUACUGGCGGCGACCGGCGCACGGGUGCGUAACACGUAUGCAACCUACCUUCAACUGGAGGAUAGCCCGGGGAAACUCGGAUUAAUACUCCAUAACACAGGGAUCCCGCAUGGGAAUAUUGUUAAAGCUACGGCGGUUGAAGAUGGGCAUGCGUUCGAUUAGCUAGUUGGUGUAGGUAACGGCUCACCAAGGCUACGAUCGAUAGGGGGUCUGAGAGGAUGAUCCCCCACACUGGUACUGAGAUACGGACCAGACUCCUACGGGAGGCAGCAGUAGGGAAUAUUGGUCAAUGGGCGCAAGCCUGAACCAGCCAUGCCGCGUGCAGGAAGAAGGCCCUCUGGGUUGUAAACUGCUUUUGAUAGGGAACAAAUGCCACUUGCGAGUGGAGCUGAGUGUACCUAUAGAAUAAGCACCGGCUAACUCCGUGCCAGCAGCCGCGGUAA
This 498-nucleotide ribosomal RNA is filed under the name uncultured bacterium. RNAcentral's name for it is "bacterial SSU rRNA". It matches the Rfam family "Bacterial small subunit ribosomal RNA", at positions 28 to 523 of the family's 1533-position model. The record is from RNAcentral.